UACGGAGGAUGCAAGCGUUAUCCGGAUUUAUUGGGUUUAAAGGGUGCGUAGGCGGCCUUGUAAGUCAGUGGUGAAAACCUGCAGCUCAACUGUAGGCGUGCCAAUGAAACUGUGAGGCUUGAGUGACGUUGAGGCAGGCGGAAUGUGUAGUGUAGCGGUGAAAUGCUUAGAUAUUACACAGAACACCGAUUGCGUAGGCAGCUUGCUAAAGGUUAACUGACGCUGAUGCACGAAAGCGUGGGGAUCGAACAGGAUUAGAUACCCUGGUAGUCCACGCUGUAAACGAUGAUGACUCGCUGUUGGCGAUAUACAGUCAGCGGCUUAGCGAAAGCGAUAAGUCAUCCACCUGGGGAGUACGCUCGCAAGAGUGAA
RNAcentral lists this ribosomal RNA (372 nucleotides) under uncultured bacterium. Its description in RNAcentral is "bacterial SSU rRNA". It matches the Rfam family "Bacterial small subunit ribosomal RNA", at positions 524 to 898 of the family's 1533-position model. The record is from RNAcentral.